Molecule: ribosomal RNA, 396 nt
Filed under: uncultured bacterium
Lineage: Bacteria
Description: partial 16S ribosomal RNA
Rfam family: Bacterial small subunit ribosomal RNA
Source: RNAcentral
AUACGUAGGUGGCAAGCGUUGUCCGGAUUUACUGGGUGUAAAGGGCGUGUAGGCGGAGAUGCAAGUCAGGAGUGAAAUCUAGGGGCUCAACCCCUAAACUGCUUUUGAAACUGUAUCCCUUGAGUAUCGGAGAGGCAGGCGGAAUUCCUAGUGUAGCGGUGAAAUGCGUUGAUAUUAGGAGGAACACCAGUGGCGAAGGCGGCCUGCUGGACGAACACUGACGCUGAGGCGCGAAAGCGUGGGGAGCAAACAGGAUUAGAUAACCUGGUAGUCCACGCUGUAAACGAUGAAUACUAGGUGUGGGGGGAAUGACCCCAUCCGUGCCGCAGUUAACACAAUAAGUAUUCCACCUGGGGAGUACGAUCGCAAGAUUGAAACUCAAAGGAAUUGACUGGG